UCCCUGGUGGUCCAGUGGUUAAGACACUGUACUCCCAACGCAGAGGGCUGGGGUUGAAUCCCUGGCCAGGGAA
Molecule: transfer RNA, 73 nt
Filed under: Bos taurus (domestic cattle)
Lineage: Eukaryota; Metazoa; Chordata; Mammalia; Artiodactyla; Bovidae
Also listed under: 1 other name
Rfam family: tRNA
About the family: Transfer RNA (tRNA) molecules are approximately 80 nucleotides in length. Their secondary structure includes four short double-helical elements and three loops (D, anti-codon, and T loops).
Source: Rfam by way of RNAcentral